RNAcentral lists this ribosomal RNA (330 nucleotides) under uncultured bacterium. RNAcentral's name for it is "bacterial SSU rRNA". It matches the Rfam family "Bacterial small subunit ribosomal RNA", at positions 30 to 363 of the family's 1533-position model. The record is from RNAcentral.
AUUGAACGCUGGCGGCAUGCCUAACACAUGCAAGUCGAACGGAGAUAGGGGCAACCUUAUUUCAGUGGCGGACGGGUGAGGAAUGCGUCGGAAUCUGCCCUAUGGUGGGGGAUAACACAGGGAAACUUGUGCUAAUACCGCAUAAUGUCGAGAGACCAAAGCAGGGGACCGCAAGGCCUUGCGCGAUAGGAUGAAGCCGAGCCCGAUUAGGCUUGUUGGUAGGGUAAUGGCCUACCAAGGCGACGAUCGGUAGCUGGUCUGAGAGGAUGAUCAGCCACACUGGGACUGAGACACGGCCCAGACUCCUACGGGAGGCAGCAGUGGGGAAUA